RNAcentral lists this long non-coding RNA (641 nucleotides) under Nicotiana tabacum (common tobacco). RNAcentral's name for it is "long non-coding RNA (NTAB_LNC002315)". Lineage: Eukaryota; Viridiplantae; Streptophyta; Magnoliopsida; Solanales; Solanaceae. The record is from RNAcentral.
ACUUGUUUUGUCCAUAAUCUUACUCCACGAACAGAUAAGUUAGCUCCUCGUGCUCUUAAGUGCGUAUUUUUGGGAUUCUCGAAAACACAAAAGGGGUAUCGAUGCUACUCUCCUGACCUCCAGUGGUACCUUAUGUCCGCUGAUGUUACCUUCUUUGAAACCCAAUCAUACUUCACAGGUUCGGGUCAUCACUUAGAUAUUUCUGAGGUACUACCAGUUUCAUCUUUUGGAGAUUCAGUCACUCCAGCUCCACCACCUACAGCUCCAGUUGUAGCUCCACUACCUAUAGCUCCAGUUGUAGCUCUACCACCUAUAGCUCCAGUUCCACCACCUACAUCUCCGGUUGUAGCUCCACCACCUAUAGCUCCAGUUCCUCCACAUAAUUUAGUUCAACCUUCUGCAGCUCCACCACUCUUGACUUAUCAUCGUCGUCCACAUCCAGCAUCAGGCCCAGGUGAUUCACGCCCCGCAUCAGAUUCUGUACCUACUGCGGAUUUGUCUCCUCUUAGUCAACCAAUUACACUCCGCAAAAGUGUACGAUCCACACUUAAUCCUAAUCCCUACUAUGUCGGUUUAAGUUAUCAUCGUCUGUCGUCACCAUAUUAUGCUUUUAUAUCUUCUUUGUCCUCUGUUUUUAUCCC